RNAcentral lists this ribosomal RNA (206 nucleotides) under uncultured bacterium. Its description in RNAcentral is "partial 16S ribosomal RNA". It matches the Rfam family "Bacterial small subunit ribosomal RNA", at positions 568 to 774 of the family's 1533-position model. The record is from RNAcentral.
UACGUAGGUGGUCUUACAAGUCUUGGGUGAAAGGCUAUGGCUCAACCAUAGUAAGCCUUGGAAACUGUAAGACUUGAGUGCAGGAGAGGUAAGUGGAAUUCCUAGUGUAGCGGUGAAAUGCGUAGAUAUUAGGAGGAACACCAGUGGCGAAGGCGACUUACUGGACUGUUACUGACACUGAGGUACGAAAGCGUGGGGAGCGAACA